Paramuricea clavata is the source of this 222-nucleotide non-coding RNA. NCBI's taxonomy places the organism in Eukaryota, Metazoa, Cnidaria, Anthozoa, Malacalcyonacea, Plexauridae. The record is from the annotation of a GenBank genome assembly.
UUAUGCAUUAUAAACGGUGCCACCAUGCAUCACACACAAUACUACUGAGGUUUAUAUAUUUCUUCUAUAUAUUCACAACAACAAUUAUUCAAGUAUUAUUUUCUAUUAUACAUCCAGGUGAUCUUGAUACGCGGAAAAGUACUGGCACUAGUUGUCAAAUAGAAAUCCAUUUUAUGAUUAAAACAACCCUUUCUGAGCGCUGAUUGGCUAAAAUACGAACAC